UAGGGAAUCUUCCACAAUGGACGAAAGCCUGAUGGAGCUACGCCGCGUGAGUGAAGAAGGGUUUCGGCUCGUAAAGCUCUGUUGUUAAAGAAGAACACGUAUGAGAGUAACUGUUCAUACGUUGACGGUAUUUAACCAGAAAGUCACGGCUAACUACGUGCCAG
RNAcentral lists this ribosomal RNA (164 nucleotides) under uncultured bacterium. Its description in RNAcentral is "partial 16S ribosomal RNA". It matches the Rfam family "Bacterial small subunit ribosomal RNA", at positions 355 to 511 of the family's 1533-position model. The record is from RNAcentral.